AUGCAAACCGUGCCAGGCAAAAUCUACUGCCUCGCUGCGGUUAGGCACAGCCGGGGUGGGAAGGCUGCCGGCUCGCCGGUCGGUGCUCGGAGCAGCGGCCUCGAUGCAGCCGGGCUGCGGGGCUGCAGCAGUGCAAAGGGGGGACGAGGGGCUAACGGCGCUGCCACCAGCCCUUCCCGGGCUUGUAAGGUUCAGCAGCUGGCUCCAGAGUUCAGAGAGGUUCGUGCUCCCAGCCAAAUUCCCCACAGGUGCCGUCUGAAACGAUUCUGCCUACCUCAACACUUUCACUGGAUCUCUGUGCGCCUCCUGGCUUUGCUGAGGAGACGCAGACACAAAAUGGACCUCCUACGGUAGGAAGUGAAUGAUAGGCUCGGCUGUUGAUGAAAAAGCAAGCCUGGCUUCCAUCUCUCUUCAAUUAGAGACCUCUUUUAAAAAGUUCAGCAGCAAAGGAAAAAGAGAAAAGGAAAAAGGAAAGGAAAGAACAGAAAGGAAAAGAGAGAAAAGGAAAAGGAAAGGAAAAACUGCAUCAGAAAGACACAGAAGAAAAAGUUGAAAGCUGCUUCACAGUCUUGCUGCUAAAUAUCAGUGCAGUCAUUUUUUUUUCCUUAAUUAAACACUAAGUUUCUUUGCCAUUAUUAUCCUGUUUAUUUUCCCUUUUUUUUUUUUUUUUUCUUUUAAAACGUGCAUGAUGG
RNAcentral lists this long non-coding RNA (692 nucleotides) under Phasianus colchicus (ring-necked pheasant). Its description in RNAcentral is "lncRNA (ENSPCLG00000001514.1)". The record is from RNAcentral. Lineage: Eukaryota; Metazoa; Chordata; Aves; Galliformes; Phasianidae.